This 155-nucleotide ribosomal RNA is filed under the name uncultured bacterium. RNAcentral's name for it is "partial 16S ribosomal RNA". It matches the Rfam family "Bacterial small subunit ribosomal RNA", at positions 355 to 507 of the family's 1533-position model. The record is from RNAcentral.
UGAGGAAUAUUGGUCAACGGACGCAAGUCUGAACCAGCCAUGCCGCGUGAAGGAUGAAGGCGUUCUGCGUUGUAAACUUCUUUUAUCUGGGAAGAAACCUUCUUUUUCUAAGGAAGCCGACGGUACCAGAGGAAUAAGCACCGGCUAAUUCCGUG